AAGUCGUAACAAGGUUUCCGUAGGUGAACCUGCGGAAGGAUCAUUAAAAGUAAUACGUAUUCCCCUGCGAAUAUACAUUAUAAACCCAUCUGUGUAUCUUACCUGUUGCUUCCGUGAGGCAGUGGCCUUCUGGUCACCUCCGAGCGAUGGCGCAAGCCAUCCGAGGGGAGCACUCACGGGAGGUAUACAUCAAACUCUUGCAUUUUAUGUCAUCUGUCUGAUCUGUUUAUAACAAAUGUUAAAACUUUCAACAACGGAUCUCUUGGUUCUC
This 271-nucleotide unclassified non-coding RNA is filed under the name Scutellinia scutellata. RNAcentral's name for it is "partial internal transcribed spacer region". The stretch from base 1 to 46 matches the Rfam family "Eukaryotic small subunit ribosomal RNA", at positions 1786 to 1831 of the family's 1831-position model. The record is from RNAcentral. Lineage: Eukaryota; Fungi; Ascomycota; Pezizomycetes; Pezizales; Pyronemataceae.